UACGAAGGGGGCUAGCGUUGCUCGGAAUCACUGGGCGUAAAGCGCACGUAGGCGGCUUGUUAAGUCAGGGGUGAAAUCCUGGAGCUCAACUCCAGAACUGCCUUCGAUACUGGAAGACUUGAGUCCGGGAGAGGUGAGUGGAACUGCGAGUGUAGAGGUGAAAUCGUAGAUAUUCGCAAGAACACCAGUGGCGAAGGCGGCUCACUGGCCCGGUACUGACGCUGAGGUGCGAAAGCGUGGGAGCAACAGGAGUAGAAC
RNAcentral lists this ribosomal RNA (258 nucleotides) under uncultured bacterium. RNAcentral's name for it is "partial 16S ribosomal RNA". It matches the Rfam family "Bacterial small subunit ribosomal RNA", at positions 524 to 784 of the family's 1533-position model. The record is from RNAcentral.